This 253-nucleotide ribosomal RNA is filed under the name uncultured bacterium. RNAcentral's name for it is "partial 16S ribosomal RNA". It matches the Rfam family "Bacterial small subunit ribosomal RNA", at positions 524 to 776 of the family's 1533-position model. The record is from RNAcentral.
UACGGGGGGGGCAAGCGUUGUUCGGAAUUACUGGGCGUAAAGGGUUCGUAGGUGGCUUGCUAAGUCAGACGUGAAAUCCCUCAGCUUAACUGGGGAACUGCGUCUGAGACUGAUGAGCUCGAGUGCAGGAGAGGAACGCGGAAUUCCAGGUGUAGCGGUGAAAUGCGUAGAUAUCUGGAGGAACACCGGUGGCGAAGGCGGCGUUCUGGACUGCAACUGACACUGAGGAACGAAAGCCAGGGGAGCAAACGGG